AGGAGGAGCUGGCAUUCCCUGGGAGCUCCCAGCCAAUAUGGAGCCUCCAAACGAGGCUGCAGGAAGAGCCUGCUGCGGGCUAGCGACGGAGGGCUCGGAGAGGUCAGCCGCACGUCUGCCAGGACUGCCCUGCCCUAGAUUAAAGAUGUCUUCUCUUAUGUAACACUUUCUGAAAACACCGCUUCCCAGGCAAACCUCAGCUGUGAUCCGAACAGGCUCCUAUUGACUGAGAGCAAAGCCUGGGAUGACUAAGGUGCAUUGUAAUAAUGGGCCUCCAUGCCGGAGGAUUAGCAUGUAACAUUCAGAAAUCAUUACACAACCCUCACAUAGCGAGCCUUCAAUCAGCCAGGGCAGUUGGGUCAACGAAUGCCAUUCUUCUGCAAUCAUGUCCACAAAUGCCAAAAUACACACGCUUACUCCCGACUUUUUUUUAAAGGAAGAAAAAUAAAUAAGAUCCCGAGUAUUUCCUACAGGGAAAUAAGAAGAUCAGGUUGCAGUCAAGCAGGAGGCUAUGCACACUCCUUGAGCAGAGUCCCUAAAACUUGUAGGGCUGUUGGGAGUAAUUCGCUCUGCCGGCCACAGAGUAACACCAGAACACGCAGAAAUGGGUUGCCACAUCACUAAAGAAGAACGUGCAGACUCAGCUCGAGGGACAUUUUGUACCCACCGAAGUCUAGCCUGCUCACCCCAGUUACUCACCCCAACCUGCUACAGAAAAUAUUUUGCAUGUAAUUUGCAUUUAUCCAUCUGAUACGAAUAAAAGCAAUUCCAGGGCAACCA
This 780-nucleotide long non-coding RNA is filed under the name Monodelphis domestica (gray short-tailed opossum). Its description in RNAcentral is "lncRNA (ENSMODG00000036716.1)". The record is from RNAcentral. Lineage: Eukaryota; Metazoa; Chordata; Mammalia; Didelphimorphia; Didelphidae.